UACGAAGGGGGCUAGCGUUGUUCGGAAUCACUGGGCGUAAAGCGCGUGUAGGCGGCAGGGCAUGUCGGAUGUGAAAUCCCGUGGCUCAACCACGGAAGUGCACCCGAAACUGCCCAGCUUGAGUCUCGGAGAGGAAGGCGGAAUGCUUGGUGUAGAGGUGAAAUUCGUAGAUAUCAAGCGGAACACCGAUGGCGAAGGCAGGUCUCUGGGCCACUACUGACGCUGAGAAGCGAAAGCAUGGGGAGCGAACAGG
RNAcentral lists this ribosomal RNA (253 nucleotides) under uncultured bacterium. RNAcentral describes it as "partial 16S ribosomal RNA". It matches the Rfam family "Bacterial small subunit ribosomal RNA", at positions 524 to 776 of the family's 1533-position model. The record is from RNAcentral.